UGGGGAAUAUUGCACAAUGGGCGCAAGCCUGAUGCAGCCAUGCCGCGUGUAUGAAGAAGGCCUUCGGGUUGUAAAGUACUUUCAGUCGGGAGGAAGGUGGUAAGGUUAAUAACUUUAUCAAUUGACGUUACCGACAGAAGAAGCACCGGCUAACUCCGUGCCAGCAGCCGCGGUAAUACGGAGGGUGCAAGCGUUAAUCGGAAUUACUGGGCGUAAAGCGCACGCAGGCGGGUGAUUGAGUCAGAUGUGAAAUCCCCGGGCUUAACCCGGGAGUUGCAUGUGAUACUGGUCAGCUAGAGUCUUGUAGAGGGGGGUAGAAUUCCAUGUGUAGCGGUGAAAUGCGUAGAGAUGUGGAGGAAUACCGGUGGCGAAGGCGGCCCCCUGGACAAAGACUGACGCUCAGGUGCGAAAGCGUGGGGAGCAAACAGG
This 429-nucleotide ribosomal RNA is filed under the name Chloroflexota bacterium. RNAcentral's name for it is "Chloroflexi bacterium partial 16S ribosomal RNA". It matches the Rfam family "Bacterial small subunit ribosomal RNA", at positions 355 to 776 of the family's 1533-position model. The record is from RNAcentral. Lineage: Bacteria; Bacillati; Chloroflexota.